AGGCUUCUGGGGCAUUCUAUCCUGUGGACACAACCUGUGGAAGGCUAGGCAGGGAGUCAGGAAAGGCUGGAGUCACCAUGGACUGCAACCUGGAACAAGGAGAGACAAAGGGAAGGAGGAGUCUGGAGCCAUAUUGAAGAUGAAAUUGAGAUAUGGACUAGGUGGUGGAUCGUUUUUAUAAGAGGACAUAAAAGAGGAUGCUAAAGCUAAUUGCCACAAUCAGAACUCAAAGACCUAGCAAAUGCAAGGUGGUAUUUAUUCUAAACUCAGCAAAGUAGUAGAAAAAUAGUUUUGAGAACAGUUUUAAGGAGACUAGGGUAACAGUGAGAAAAUAGUUCAUGGCUAGUCUGGACUUAGGACUUUAGGGUCGGCCUGGUGAAUUGAAGGGAAGCAGCUGAUACACUCUGGUUGCCUUGUACCCUGGCUUUUGGUGCUUUCCCAUGUGCUGUAGUCAUCAGUAAUCUGGAGGAAAUGCUAUAGAGGCAAAGACACCAUUAGAUGGGUGCUCAACUAGCAAACAGGAUGUGACCACAGAGUAGUUACCCCAAGACCAGGUCAGCAUGACCCAAAAGGCAGAAGAGGACAAGGUUUAUGAGUGUUGGGCUGAGCUCACGCCUGCUUGAACAUCUCAAGAACAAUGUUAAUGAUGGAAGAGAGAGAUAGGAGAGGAAACUCAUUAAACUUGCCAAAUAUGAGAUGUAGCUGGGUUGGCUCUAUGUAAGCAUGGCAGAAAAGCAUUUAGAAGUCAUAAUACAUUUAAAAUAAGAGCUACCAGCAUAGCAGUGACAUGAAGAAGGCAUGUGUUUUGUUAAAAAGUUUUAAAUACUCCUAUAAAAGAUAGUAAGGUACAAGUUGUUUGCUUGAUCAGCAAUGCUAAUUGCCUUUGAAGUGCAUGCCUGGGGAUUCCAUGGAGAGAGGACCCUGUUUCUCCACCCCAACCCAAAUUCACUGAGUUUAUGUCAGAAUGUUCAGAAGCCCCUUUACAAAUUCCUCUGAUUGCCUUGUUAGACACUGGCCACCUCCCUGAACCUGGGCCAAGAUGAGGGUCUACACCUUGGCUUAGUUCUACUAUGAAAGACUUUCCUGCAGUAAAAGUUACCUGUCUGAAACAUUCAGAAGAGUGAAAAUGCCACAUCUCCAAUUUCCAGCAAUAUAUUUGUCUGCCAUGAUUUGGCCUGGAAGCUUAAGCAGGAAGACCACUUGGAGCCAGACUUCAGAGUGAUCUGUCUCUAAGGAAUAACUUUCAUAUUGCAGCGUUCGGUUUUGCAAUUCUUCCUAAGCUACUCUAAAUUCGCAGCAUAAAUCUGCAGAAAGACUUCACCCUCCACAUCAAACCCUUAUAAGGAUCCAUUUCUGCUCUCAUUUUAGAAUAUCUUUUCUAAUAGCUAAAGGCAGACAGAGGCAAACCAAGAAAUCCAGACUUUGCAUCAACGGGUUAAAUCAUAUGUCAAAGGUGCAACCAUAACGUAUUACAAGCUUCUCAUCACAUAAUACAUCACUCAAGAAAAAAUAUUUGGGCAGCUUUUCUAAUUCAUCUUCCUGGUGUUAAAGGAGCACAUCUCCAGUGUUCGUGUCUUCUGUUUCAAUUAAAGCAAUCAUGCCUACUCUUUUAGGAAACUACUAAGG
Molecule: long non-coding RNA, 1626 nt
Organism: Homo sapiens (human)
Lineage: Eukaryota; Metazoa; Chordata; Mammalia; Primates; Hominidae
Source: Ensembl